UACGGAGGGGACUAGCGUUGUUCGGAAUUACUGGGCGUAAAGCGUGCGUAGACGGUUGCGUAAGUCAGAUGUGAAAGCCCCGGGCUCAACCUGGGAACUGCAUUGGAAACUAACGGGCUCGAGUGUGGCAGAGGGGGGUGGAAUUCCACGUGUAGCAGUGAAAUGCGUAGAGAUGUGGAGGAACACCGAUGGCGAAGGCAGCCCCCUGGGCUAACACUGACGCUCAGGCACGAAAGCGUGGGGAGCGAACAGG
This 253-nucleotide ribosomal RNA is filed under the name uncultured bacterium. RNAcentral describes it as "partial 16S ribosomal RNA". It matches the Rfam family "Bacterial small subunit ribosomal RNA", at positions 524 to 776 of the family's 1533-position model. The record is from RNAcentral.